Molecule: ribosomal RNA, 246 nt
Filed under: uncultured bacterium
Lineage: Bacteria
Description: partial 16S ribosomal RNA
Rfam family: Bacterial small subunit ribosomal RNA
Source: RNAcentral
GAUCCUGGCUCAGGACGAACGCUGGCGGCGCGCCUAACACAUGCAAGUCGAACGGGGUUUUACCGACAGAAGUUUUCGGAUGGACGUUGGUACGACCUAGUGGCGGACGGGUGAGUAACACGUGAGCAACCUGCCUUUCAGAGGGGGAUAACGAUUGGAAACGAUCGCUAAUACCGCAUAACAUCAUCGGACCGCAUGAUCUGAUGGUCAAAGGAGCAAUCCGCUGAAAGAUGGGCUCGCGGCCGA